RNAcentral lists this transfer RNA (70 nucleotides) under Dipodomys ordii (Ord's kangaroo rat). It matches the Rfam family "tRNA". Rfam says of the family: Transfer RNA (tRNA) molecules are approximately 80 nucleotides in length. Their secondary structure includes four short double-helical elements and three loops (D, anti-codon, and T loops). The record is from Rfam by way of RNAcentral. Lineage: Eukaryota; Metazoa; Chordata; Mammalia; Rodentia; Heteromyidae.
GGGAAUGUGGCUUAGUGGUAGAGUGCUUGCCUAGCACACAUGAAGCCCUGGGUUCAAUUCCUCAGUACCA